RNAcentral lists this non-coding RNA (29 nucleotides) under Homo sapiens (human). The record is from RNAcentral. Lineage: Eukaryota; Metazoa; Chordata; Mammalia; Primates; Hominidae.
UCCCCUAUUAUGCAAGGAUUGCCAUGUGA